Molecule: RNA transcript, 3268 nt
Organism: Nasonia vitripennis (jewel wasp)
Lineage: Eukaryota; Metazoa; Arthropoda; Insecta; Hymenoptera; Pteromalidae
Exons: 4
Source: RefSeq, a predicted model, not a curated record
UGUUUGUAUAACGUUCUAAUAUAUAAAAAGAAAAUUUUAAUUGUUCACCAAUAAAUAAAGUUACGUAGUUACUGUAAUGGAAUCCCCGAUUCCAUUACGCGCCUAUGACGCCAAUUAAAAUAGAGACACACAAAACAAAUACACAUAUACACAUACACAAACUCGCGAGCACCGCUAUCGCAGCAGCCACAAGAAGCAGUACUUCCCCACCACAGCAUAAUCCUACAAAAAUAGGAAUAGAAGAGUAGCGGCAACUGCGCACGGAGCGAAGAUUAUCCGAAAGAAUAGCCGUCGUCAGAAAAACUGACACGGACUAUCAACAGAAUUAAAAAGAUGUAACUGAACGAGCAAAACUAUGUCCCGAUAUCUCUCAAAUAGCGACAAGCUCAUCAAAUUGCAUCAAAUUCCGUUCACUCAAUCGUGAGAUAUUAGGUUUUAAUACAUAAAAAAUUUUUUUUUCACACCGUGCGGCGCAAGGCUAGGGAGCGCCAGGGAUCUACAGCUGCAACCUCCUGCUGACGCAUACUCACACGCACUUACACACAUUACACUAAAUGUACUUUUCUCUCUUGUUUUCUUGUAUAAAUAAACGUAGUAGUCGCUUUAAAUUCUAACCCCGUGUAAAAGUGAUUUCGUUAUCAGGCUCCCUUUCUCGGAAGGCAGUGACUGUGUCUGUGGUAGCCAAAAGGGAUUUCCAUUGUAAAUUUAAAAUAAUAAUAAUUGCCGAAGAUAGGAACGUUGCCGUCGCUAUAUUCGUGUUCAUCAACUUUGAAAACCCCCGAGUAACAAGUUUUGGCUAAUUAUGUUACAAUAUCUCUCAAAACUCCAUGAGACGACGUGAUACUGUCUACCCUGGGCACCAGGUACCUCAAGGAGCGUUGCCGUCGCUAUAUUCGUGUUCAACGACCUCGAAAACCGCCAAUCAACGAGUCACGACAAAAAGUCGUUAAUUUUCCGUGAAACUCUUGGAGACGACGUCGAUACUGCCCACCCUGGGCACCAGGUACCUUGGGGAGUGUUGUUGUCGCUAUAUUCGUAUUCAGCGACCUCGAAAACUCCCGAGUGACGAGUUUCGACUAAUUAUAUUGCAAAUUCCCACAAAACUCCAGGAGACGACGUGAUACUGUCCACCCUGGGCAGCAGGUACCUAGGAGAGCGUUGCCGCCCUGUUGAAAAUAUAUACCUGGAUAUCCAGGUGGAUUUUCCAUAUGGAUAAUCUAUAUGGAUUCCAUAUGGAUUCCAUGUGGAUAUUCCAUAUGGAUCUCCACAUGGAAUGGUUGUGAGCUCCAAAAUCUUAAUUUUUUUAGCAUUACAAAAAAUUUAAAUUUCUUUAAAAUAAUUAAAAAGUGAAUAUUUUGGAGCUGGACUGGCAUAGCAAAACUGGACUUAUUUCUAUAAAUAUUUAUGGAGUUCUUAUUUAUUGUCUCUUUCGCUGCACUUUAUAUAGGUUAUGAUCGCAUUCGACGCGCAUAAUAACUCAUUAUAAGCUUAAAAUUGGUUAAAAAUUGGGUUAUUUUUAACAAAAGAAAUAAGGUUAUUCUUACUAAGCAAGCCAACGCUUAAGCUAAUUCUUCUAACAGGGAUUUACUUAUAACUUUCCGUAUGUCCGAAGCUUUUCGAGCCUCGAUUGACGUAAUUCCACAAGACACAGGCACGUUCACACAAAGCAAUCACGCUCUGCUACCAUGUUAAAACAAAUCGAUCUGCUUCGUUUUAAUGUUGAUCAACUACAUUAAUUAAAAGAGAGACUUUAUAGAAAAAUUAUUUAUUAAGAGAACAACGUUGUGGUACUUACGAGAGUUACAAACCGACAGACAGAUUGUUAGAAAAAGCCGAAAGAAGCUUGCUUGGCAACAAGAAAUGAAAAACGUUCGAAAUAUAAAUGAAUGUAUAGUUUUGUCGUUAACAGAAACGUUUCAGAAAUGUUUCUAAAACGUGAAAAUGUCUGCUUUUGUUGGGAAAGUUCCGUUGUCAGAACAUUUCUAAGAACGCAAGCAAAUGUUUAAGAAACAUUUCCAACAACUUUUUUGAAACAAAUUUUUUGUUCGGAAAUAUCCGCGUUUUUCAAGUGUUGUAGCGAUGUUUCUGAAACGUUGAAAAACUUCAGAUUCAACGUUCCAAGGUUACAAUACAACGUUUAAGAAACGGUCCAGGCGUUUGCGGUGGUCGAUGCCGAGGUCCAGGUGAUGCGAUCCGUAGAUGUCGGUGUCUAGGUAUAAAUAUUGUUUGAAAACCGAUAGGUGUCAAUAUUAGCCAAUUAUGCAAUGCAUGGUAGCUGAUGACUAGGUAUUAUAUUUUAUAAUUUUUUGUCGUCGCCAUUCGCUGUAUAUUACGGUUAUUUUAUAUUUGUUUUCUUGCAGGAAGUGGAAAGCGUUUUUCUAAAUAUUUUUACUGGUGAUAACGUACAAUGCAAUACCCCUGUUGAAAAUAGUCGAUAGAUAGUUGAAAUAUAAUAUAGGCUAUAGUAGCCUACGUCAUUCGUGUAACAGUUCGCAUAUUUGUAUGUAAACAAACUUUUUAAAUACCGAAGCGAAAAAUCUACGAGGUUGACGAUAAUUACUCUCGAUCGAGUAAUUUUCAUUUUCUUGCUGCAUGUGCCACCAGCUUUAGUGAAGAAAACAUCAGCGAUUCUGAAAAUGAAAGCAGUUGUAGCAGUCAUACCGAUUCAUGUUCCUCAGACGGCAAGUCAAGCAGCGGCCGAAAUUCUUAUCGUAAAACCUCAUGUGUCACCAGCACGAUUUUGGAUUGAGACAGUAAUUGUUUCCAUCGCAUUUAAUUUUUGUAGCUAGUAAUAUAUUUCGGGAUUUCGUUCGUCAUAAUUUUACAGACGUUGAAGUGCAGCUUGAUUCCGAUGAUAACCUAGACGGCGAUAACUAUAAUCUAGUGUCUACGUUGAUUAACUAAGAUGGAAAAUCAAGAUACUUCACAUUGUCCUCCGUCAUCUCUUCGGCCACCGCCUUUACAACAACCUCAGCGGCCACCUCCUUCACAACUUCCGCCGCCUGAACAGGGCAGAGGCGCAAUACCGCGAGAUUUAAGACCUGUUCGGGGUCGCAGAGUUGCCCAUCAUGAAUCACGAAAUGCUGAUGUAAGGAUUAAUCCUUAUCACAGAAAUUUGGAAAAUGCCGCGGUGUUUAUUGCUAAAUUUAUUAGUGCUAUCAACAAAGAAACUGAGAAUGAUUUAAUUAAUAGAAGAAAUAGACAACAUCAAGAGGAAGAUAGAGAGUGAAAUUGUAGUUAUUCAAAAAAUAAACACCUCAGUAAAAUA